GAUGAACGCUGACAGAAUGCUUAACACAUGCAAGUCUUUGGCGAAGCUGUGCUUGCACAGCCUAGCCAAGGCGGACGGGUGAGUAACGCGUAAGGAACUUGCCCUGCAGUCAGGGAUAACAGACGGAAACGACUGAUAAGACCUAGUAAAGUCAGGCGGACUCAUGUCCAGCCUGAUGAAAAGAGAUGCUGCAGGAGAGCCUUGCGUCCUAUUAGCUUGUUGGUGGGGUAACGGCCCACCAAGGCGAUGAUAGGUAGCCGGCCUGAGAGGGUGGACGGCCACAAGGGGACUGAGAUACGGCCCUUACUCCUACGGGAGGCAGCAGUGGGGAAUAUUGGACAAUGGGGGCAACCCUGAUCCAGCAAUUCUGUGUGCACGAUGAAGGUUUUCGGAUUGUAAAGUGCUUUCAGCAGGGAAGAAAAAAAUGACGGUACCUGCAGAAGAAGCGACGGCUAAAUACGUG
Molecule: ribosomal RNA, 463 nt
Filed under: uncultured bacterium
Lineage: Bacteria
Description: partial 16S ribosomal RNA
Rfam family: Bacterial small subunit ribosomal RNA
Source: RNAcentral